AAACAUUCGUUGACCAGGC
Molecule: small nuclear RNA, 19 nt
Filed under: Arabidopsis thaliana (thale cress)
Lineage: Eukaryota; Viridiplantae; Streptophyta; Magnoliopsida; Brassicales; Brassicaceae
Description: snRNA_10790
Source: RNAcentral